Condylostylus longicornis is the source of this 2059-nucleotide long non-coding RNA. RefSeq lists it as uncharacterized. NCBI's taxonomy places the organism in Eukaryota, Metazoa, Arthropoda, Insecta, Diptera, Dolichopodidae. The transcript has 3 exons. The record is from RefSeq and is a predicted model, not a curated record.
UGCAUUAGUGUGAUGUAAACGCAAAGUCGAAUUACUUAUAAAAUAUAUAUACUUUGGCGUCAGCCACCUUAAUAAUUUUGCAUUUGUGUGUAUACAAAGUUUUUACAAAUAAAAGAACUAUUGAAUUUCUUUAGUACAGAUAUUAAUUUCGUAAGUGGUGGAUAUAUUGCCCAGCGUAAUAUUUCGUAUAAAACAAAGGUGUUUUUUUAAUAAAAAUAAUACCAAACUUUAUUUAAAAAGAACUUAAUAAAUUGAAAUGCCCCGAAGGUGUAGCGUACCAGGAUGCAACAGCAAUGCUCUACGAAGAAGGAAGUACGGAAAAACUAUCUCUACCUUUAUUUUUCCCAAGAACGAAGUCAUGCGAAAUAAAUGGAUAGAAGCAAUAGGAAUAAAGGAUUGGGCACCAAAAAAGAGUUCAUCGGUAUGCAUUCGACAUUUUCGGCCGGAAGACAUACAACAUAAAUAUAUGAUACAAAAUGAAGAAACACAGUAUGAUUUGCCGAAACCAAAAUUGUUUAGGGGCGCAGUACCUUCCAUGUUUUUGAGACGGCCGCUUCAAAAAGAAAUGGAAGAAGAAGAAAUGAAAAACCAAAAAAUUUUUGUAAGCGAUAUUAAAAAAUCAUUAACAAACAAAAAAAGUCUGAUUUGCUCAGCACAUAACCGACCGAAAUGUGUAUUGUCUAGUUAAGUGAAAAUGUUACAGAACAUUAUGAAAAUGUCUGUUAAAUUCUUCUUUCUAAUUUUUAAAACAUUAGUAACCUUAUAGUUAACAUACCUAGAAAAAUGUAAAUUUGGCUCUUAGUGGAAUUCUGCUUUGUGCUACCAGAAUUCCCUGCAAUUCUCGUCAGUUAGUUUCAGUAACAAUCAGAACUGAAAUAUCAAAUUUCAAAAAUUUAUAUAUUCAUUGUUUUAAUACGAAGAAUUUAAAUAUUCAAUUUCAAUGAAAUCGGUUGAUUAUUUCUCUUUAUAUACGCAAAAAUGUAUAUUUGGCCCAUAGUAAACGUCUAGUUGCUGACACCUGAUUUCUUCCAAAAGUUACGAGGUUUCGCGGACGGUCGAGCUGAGCUUAUAUAUGAAAUUUCAAGCAAAUCGGUUGAAUAGUUUCUUUAAAAUGCUCAAAAAUGUAAAACAGGUCCGCUAAAAAGUGCAGUUCCCGAAGCCUGAUUUAUCCCAAAAGUUGAUCAAUCUGUGCCAUGGUCGAAAUAAACUUACAUAUAAAAUUUCAUCAAAAUCGGUUCAGCAGAACUUGAGAUACACCCGUCCACGCACAGACCGACAGACGACAGGUUGCUAAAAAUAGUUUAUUUACACUUCCCUACUAUGGAGAAGUGCAAUCCCACGGAAAACUCGAUAUGUAAAAUUUGUUGCCAUCACAUAACCUACCUAUUGUAUACGCAAUACGGUCUGUAAUUAGUGCGAAUAUUUUAAAACAUUUCAAUGUGUAUAACAAUGUGUGUAACGACUAUGUUGUAUUUUAUAUUGUAAAUAAUGAUAAACAAAAAGGGUGUAGUUCUAAAAGUAGAAAAGUGAUAAAAUUUAAGUGUUAAUAAAUUUGUAAAAGAAACUUUAGUUCCUAUAAAAGACUUAGAAUGGAUUGUUCCAAAAACCUUAAAAUUAACGUUAUGGUGUCAAUUAGAAAAUUUGUUGAUUCGAUAAAAAAAUUUUCAAACGUCAGAUUUGUCGCAAGAUUUUAAUGAUCUUUUAGAAAACUCUUUGCGCAUUCUUUACCUUUGAAUAUAAUAAGAUCCCAAAUUACCGUGAGCAUUUCUAAUUCAUUUAAAAAUACCUAAUGUAAGAACAUGUAUAUGUAUAUAUUUCUCAAUAAGAAGUAUGAUGAAUGAUGAUCAAGCCGGUUUCACUCAAGUCAAUAGAAAAUUUUACCUACUUGAUUUGAAAUGUUACGCAUAGAACAUAAAUGUAUGUAUAUUCAUUAGAAAUAUUCGUUUUAAAUUUCUAAAAUUUUUUAAGACAAUAUUAAAAUAAAAAUAAAAAAUUCAUAAUUUAUAUUUUAUCAAUAAAUGCAUUGACAAUUACCAAUUACAAAUUUAAAUUUUUUUAA